UUUUCCUCUACCCGCCGCUCUUGAAUUCCAUUCCUCUCCCAUUCUCUCUGCAAACCCUAGUCGUCUCCAUCAAAGAUAACCCUAAUCACUUCGAUUCUCGCCAGCUUUCAUGGCUUCUCAGGCUGUGAAACCAUCAUACUCACCUCCUAUUGCUCUUGUGUGCUUGGUAUUCGAAGGAUUGAGGCUAGACCUCAAAGGUCUCCACCCAGAUCUUUGUCGACUUGAGGUUUCCGGCCAUCUUCGACCUGGAUCCAGCAUAUCUUAGCCUCAUGAACAUAUUUCCAAUCUUAUCCGACAUAGAUCGGACUUUUUCGAAGCCUUUCUCAUUCUACGGUUCACCUGAAACCUUAGCCGU
Molecule: long non-coding RNA, 355 nt
Filed under: Nicotiana benthamiana
Lineage: Eukaryota; Viridiplantae; Streptophyta; Magnoliopsida; Solanales; Solanaceae
Description: long non-coding RNA (NBEN_LNC020837)
Source: RNAcentral